UGAUGCUGUUUUUUAAUUGCAUUUGUAUAGGAACAGAGUUCAGAGAUACAGUGUGUGAUGACUGUCCUGCUGGUUCAUAUUCAGAUGGUACAUUCUGCAAAUUGCAUACAAACUGUGCAUCUCUUGACAAAAUAACAAUCAAGGAAGGAACAGAUAGGACUGAUGCUGAGUGCAGUAACAGAGCACCUUCUUAUUUACUGCCACUGAUUCUGUGUGUGUGUGGAGUGUGUUCGCUGUUGCUUAUUGUCAUAAUUGUAAAGAAAAAAAUUAAGCAAAAAAGUGGAUUAAAUCGAGUUACAACCCAAGAUUUAGACCUGUAAACUUUGUUUUUAAUCAUGCAAUGUUUUUAAAUAGUAAUUACUGUUUCUACUAUAUAUUUUAUAUUUUUUCAUGAGCACCAAAAUCAAUCUGGUCCUCCCUCUAACCAAGUUAUUUGCUCUCUUGGCUAAUGUUUAUAGAUUAAACUUGUAUAAAUGCCAGGCAAAAGUUGCAUAGAUCCCCCAGCAGAUCUUUGAUCAAAGAUUCAGUCAUGUUUAGUGGACUUUUUUGGGACAAGCUGCACUGGGUACCAAAAGUGUAUUGAACCGUCCUAAAGAAGAAGAAGGAGGACUUGGACUGGUGCAUCUACAAACAUUCAGUUCAUACAAAGACUUUUAACAGGCUCAGAGAACCCAAACCGCUACACUGAGAGGGGUUGAAGGACUAGGAUUGGAUAGAGCCUCACUGUGAUCCUCAGAAGCUGAAACUCUCCAAGUUUCCUGUUUUUUAUCAAAUCUUUUUAAAGUGUGGGCCUUGUUCAAGAUUCCAAAGAAGAGGACUGUGAACACUUUGUUCUGGCUGUGGAACGAGGCGUUUAUUUUGGGCUCAUGUUUGGCCUUGUCCAGUGAACUGAGUUACUUUGUGACGGAAGAUAAUCUUCUCAACUCUGGAGCUAACUUUAUAGAUGUGAGUUCAGAGACUGAGAAGCUGUGGAAGAGAUCUACUCGUUUGGUCACCAGAGCACUUGACGAGUGGAGGACCGCUUUGUCUGAAAAAUAACUAAAAUUGUUAUUGGAUUACUCACUGGGUCUUAUUAAUCCAGAUUGUACCGAUUCUUCUCCCGAGUUAUAUUUAACUCCCAUAAUGGACAAUUGUGGAGGCUGUUUCUUAGAGGUUAACAAUUUGAUUGUGAUGAGUUCAGAUGUUACUUCUGGAAAGGUCUGUUACAAAAUCUGUGUUAAAAUCUUUAAUAAGAAGACCUUGGAUUAAAAAAUUGAUCCUCCUUGGCGUGGUAUGCUUCAUUUGAAAGAGAGUGAAAAACCUGAGUGGAGAGUAUUGUAUAAGUCACCAUUAUCUAAGAGAAUUGGAGAUGUUGUUAUUGCAGUGAACACUUUUGUUUCUGUUAUUAACCUGAAUAUGGAUCAAAACUGUUCUUUUUGUUCACAAAAGGAAACUGUCUUCUAUGCAUUUAUGCAGAGUUCAAGACUGAC
Molecule: long non-coding RNA, 1469 nt
Filed under: Sinocyclocheilus grahami
Lineage: Eukaryota; Metazoa; Chordata; Actinopteri; Cypriniformes; Cyprinidae
Description: lncRNA (ENSSGRG00000004787.1)
Source: RNAcentral